AGCGAACGCUGGCGGCAGGCCUAACACAUGCAAGUCGAACGGAUCCUUCGGGAUUAGUGGCGGACGGGUGAGUAACACGUGGGAACGUGCCCUUUGGUUCGGAACAACUCAGGGAAACUUGAGCUAAUACCGGAUGUGCCCUUCGGGGGAAAGAUUUAUCGCCAUUGGAGCGGCCCGCGUCUGUUUAGCUAGUUGGUGAGGUAACGGCCCACCAAGGCGACGAUCAGUAGCUGGUCUGAGAGGAUGAUCAGCCACACUGGGACUGAGACACGGCCCAGACUCCUACGGGAGGCAGCAGUGGGGAAUCUUGCGCAAUGGGCGAAAGCCUGACGCAGCCAUGCCGCGUGAAUGAUGAAGGUCUUAGGAUUGUAAAAUUCUUUCAGCGGGGACGAUAAUGACGGUACCCGCAGAAGAAGCUCCGGCUAACUUCGUG
Molecule: ribosomal RNA, 433 nt
Filed under: uncultured bacterium
Lineage: Bacteria
Description: partial 16S ribosomal RNA
Rfam family: Bacterial small subunit ribosomal RNA
Source: RNAcentral